Molecule: ribosomal RNA, 301 nt
Filed under: uncultured bacterium
Lineage: Bacteria
Description: partial 16S ribosomal RNA
Rfam family: Bacterial small subunit ribosomal RNA
Source: RNAcentral
CAGCAGCCACGGUAAUACGUAGGGUGCGAGCGUUAAUCGGAAUUACUGGGCGUAAAGCGUGCGCAGGCGGUUAUAUAAGACAGAUGUGAAAUCCCCGGGCUCAACCUGGGACCUGCAUUUGUGACUGUAUAGCUAGAGUACGGUAGAGGGGGAUGGAAUUCCGCGUGUAGCAGUGAAAUGCGUAGAUAUGCGGAGGAACACCGAUGGCGAAGGCAAUCCCCUGGACCUGUACUGGCGCUCAUGCACGAAAGCGUGGGGAGCAAACAGGAUUAGAUACCCCAGUAGUCCCUGUCCUUAUACA